Molecule: long non-coding RNA, 1179 nt
Organism: Cavia porcellus (domestic guinea pig)
Lineage: Eukaryota; Metazoa; Chordata; Mammalia; Rodentia; Caviidae
Exons: 5
Source: RefSeq, a predicted model, not a curated record
CAAAUGGGAAGGGUUCCCUCCAGUUCCAAGUGAGUUCCAGAGGCAUUACUCAGGCUCCUUAACCUAUGAGUCACACAGGAGUCUAGGAGAGUGUUUCCAAAACAGUCCGACAAUAAGAUAAACAAAGCAAUUGAUAUGUGACAGUCCAGUGGCUGGGCUGCCAUCCUCCAGGGCCAAGGGUUGGAUCUAAAGCUGAAGGACAGUGAACCCGAACAGACUGGGUGUCCCCGAGGAAUCGGGGAUGGCCAGAGCUCUGCCGAACAACUUGGAACAUUUCCUGAAAGUAAAUGGCCACAAGGAGGUUGCUCAGGUGUGCGGAAAAUGAUGCAGAAUUCUAGCCAGAAAGAACAAGAUCAGCAGAAAAUGCCCGGUGGAGUACUGUGUGUGUGGAUCCCAGCCCCUCAGCCAGCUGUUUGCAACCCUGAGCUUCUGUCCCCCGGGAUUCUUCUACUGUGGUGAAUGUUAUUUUCACAACUCGCACAGAGAUUGAGUCAUUGAUGGAUUGUGGUGCUGGGAAUUGAACUCAGGACUUCGGUACUGAACCCCAUCCCCAACACCUUUUUAUUUUAUUGUUUUUUAAACUACUAAAUUGAUAAGUAGUUCAUACUGAGUUUGAACUUUGUCAUCCUCCUGCCUCAGCCUCCCAGAGCACUGGUAUUACAGAGAAGGAAAGUGAGGCUGAGAGAGAUUCAUUGGCUGGCACAAGGUCACACACACACGAUGUUUGAAAGGAACAGAAGAUUAUCCAGUUCAACCAAAUCUAUGCCCAGAGGGAGGAGCUUGCAACUGGAAAAUGCACGGAGCUAAGAGUUUGUCCUUGCUGUGUCUGAGGCUGCUGUGUGGCCUGGCAGAAGCUGCUGACCUGCUUGGACCAUACUUUCUUUUACAAGAGAAGAAAGAAUGACCUGCUCAGUCUUCCUUACAACCUUGCUUUGAAGGACAACCGCAUGUGAAAGCCCAGUAUGAGGAGUGGAGCAGGACCAAAGCCAUCCCCUUUCCUCUCCUACACAGAAUGCAGUCACAUUCUAGUCUCCUUUCACGGGCUGCCUAAUUUCUGGCACAUCUAGCCAAAUGUGAUUAACAAGGAAAAGUUUAAUAUAGAACCACUCCCUUUCCUGACUCACAGAGAAAAUGAGGUAAUCUCGAAUAUUGUACUAAAAUAAAGGAUUUACAAGUUGA